Molecule: ribosomal RNA, 109 nt
Filed under: Candidatus Pelagibacterales bacterium
Lineage: Bacteria; Pseudomonadati; Pseudomonadota; Alphaproteobacteria; Candidatus Pelagibacterales
Source: RNAcentral
UAGGGCGGCUAUAGCAAUGGGGCUCACCUCUUACCAUUCCGAACAGAGAAGUUAAGUCCAUUAGCGCCGAUGGUACUACUAAUUGUGGAAGAGUAGGUCGCCGCCUUCU